Molecule: ribosomal RNA, 395 nt
Filed under: uncultured bacterium
Lineage: Bacteria
Description: bacterial SSU rRNA
Rfam family: Bacterial small subunit ribosomal RNA
Source: RNAcentral
ACUGAACGCUGGCGGCAUGCCUUACACAUGCAAGUCGAACGGCAGCAUGGAAGAGCUUGCUCUUCUGAUGGCGAGUGGCGAACGGGUGAGUAAAGCAUCGGAACGUACCGUGUAGUGGGGGAUAACGUAGCGAAAGUUACGCUAAUACCGCAUACGCACUGAGGUGGAAAGCAGGGGAUCGCAAGACCUUGCGCUAUACGAGCGGCCGAUGUCAGAUUAGCUAGUUGGUAGGGUAAAGGCCUACCAAGGCGACGAUCUGUAGCGGGUCUGAGAGGAUGAUCCGCCACACUGGGACUGAGACACGGCCCAGACUCCUACGGGAGGCAGCAGUGGGGAAUUUUGGACAAUGGGCGAAAGCCUGAUCCAGCCAUGCCGCGUGAGUGAAGAAGGCCUUC